GGGCGGUUAGCUCAGCUGGAAGAGCACCUCGUUUACACCGAGGGGGUCGGCGGUUCGAUCCCGUCACCGCCCACCA
RNAcentral lists this transfer RNA (76 nucleotides) under Alphaproteobacteria bacterium. Its description in RNAcentral is "tRNA-Val". It matches the Rfam family "tRNA". Rfam says of the family: Transfer RNA (tRNA) molecules are approximately 80 nucleotides in length. Their secondary structure includes four short double-helical elements and three loops (D, anti-codon, and T loops). Further hydrogen bonds mediate the characteristic L-shaped molecular structure. tRNAs have two regions of fundamental functional importance: the anti-codon, which is responsible for specific mRNA codon recognition, and the 3' end, to which the tRNAs corresponding amino acid is attached (by aminoacyl-tRNA synthetases). tRNAs cope with the degeneracy of the genetic code in two manners: having more than one tRNA (with a specific anti-codon) for a particular amino acid; and 'wobble' base-pairing, i.e. permitting non-standard base-pairing at the 3rd anti-codon position. The record is from RNAcentral. Lineage: Bacteria; Pseudomonadati; Pseudomonadota; Alphaproteobacteria.